ACUGGGAUAACUCCGGGAAACCGGGGCUAAUACCGGAUGCUUGAUUGAACCGCAUGGUUCAAUUCUAAAAGGGGGCUUUUAGCUAACCCUUGCAGAUGGAACCGCGGCGGAUUAGCUAGGUGGUGAGGUAACGGCUCACCAAGGCUGCGAUGCGUAGCCGAACUGAGAGGGUGAACCGGCAACCUGGGACUGAAACCCGGGCCAGACUCCUACGGGAAGCAGCAGUAAGGAAUCUUCCGCCAUGGACGAAAGUCUGACGGAACAACGCCGCGUGAGUGGAGAAGGUUUUCGGAUCGUAAAACUCUGUUGGUAGGGAAGAACAAGUACCGUUUGAAUAGGGCGGUACCUUGACGGGACCUAACCAAAAAGGCACGGCUAACUACGUGCCAACAGCCGCGGUAAUACGUAAGUGGCAAGCGUUGUCCGGAAUUAUUGGGCGGAAAGCG
This 446-nucleotide ribosomal RNA is filed under the name Bacillus licheniformis. Its description in RNAcentral is "bacterial SSU rRNA". It matches the Rfam family "Bacterial small subunit ribosomal RNA", at positions 137 to 567 of the family's 1533-position model. Lineage: Bacteria; Bacillati; Bacillota; Bacilli; Caryophanales; Bacillaceae. The record is from RNAcentral.